CCUGUCCGGGGUGCCGGUUGCGAACCCAGGGGGCGUUUUCGCCGUGUCGGCGUCGUUCCGGGCGAAUGCGGCGGACCGGCUCAGCGCGGUGGGCAGGCC
RNAcentral lists this transfer RNA (99 nucleotides) under Wenjunlia tyrosinilytica. RNAcentral's name for it is "tRNA-Glu". Lineage: Bacteria; Bacillati; Actinomycetota; Actinomycetes; Kitasatosporales; Streptomycetaceae. The record is from RNAcentral.